UAGCUCACCCCUCUCCCUUAACCCCCAGGUUUGCAGGUACAGGGUAGACCAGGAGGUCAGCAAGAGUAAAGAAGUCUUGUGUAUGUAAUAGUUAGAAUGUGGACAUGACAAAUUGUAUAAUGAUGUAUAGAUAUGUAAUGUAACGAUGUUGAGGUUAAAAGUGUGCUUGACCAUAGUUAUUAUAAUCCCUUUUUGAUACAUGAUCUUAAUGUUUAUGGAUGUCUAUGUUUA
Molecule: long non-coding RNA, 231 nt
Filed under: Manihot esculenta (cassava)
Lineage: Eukaryota; Viridiplantae; Streptophyta; Magnoliopsida; Malpighiales; Euphorbiaceae
Description: long non-coding RNA (MESC_LNC004775)
Source: RNAcentral